Pseudophryne corroboree (corroboree frog) is the source of this 800-nucleotide long non-coding RNA. RefSeq lists it as uncharacterized. The record is from RefSeq and is a predicted model, not a curated record. NCBI's taxonomy places the organism in Eukaryota, Metazoa, Chordata, Amphibia, Anura, Myobatrachidae. The transcript has 2 exons.
GUUACCACGGACAUUUAACUUAUUUCUGCGCCCUUUUUCCCCCUCUACAAAAUGCAGCCUGGCUAAAUGCUUUGAGACUUCAGCAAGGAAAGGGUUAAGAACAUUUUCUAUGCUAUAGCUGUCAUGCGCUUGGACAGUUAACAGCCGUGUGCCGAGUCUGUUGGCAGUUGGGCGGCGGCCAUCUUAGGAGGAUGGGCAGAGUGGAACAGGACCUAGGAGCAGAAGGUGCUGAGCUGAUUUGGUGGUGUACAUGGUGACCAAAGGAGACUCCUUACCUGAUCUUCAAUAAAUCAGAGUCCAGCAGCUGACAAUGAGAGUGUCUAUGGAGUGAUGCCACACCGCAAACAUAGAGAACAGUGUCCAGCAGUUAACAGAAUACCAAACAAAGCUAUUGUGUAUACAACAGUUCCGAGCUGACAACCAUGCACCACAAAGUCUACAUACUUCUCCAGGAGAAGGCCACGGUACAGAUGACAUAAGUGGUGAGAAGGACAGCUACUGCCAGCAGAAAAGGCUUUUAAGAUGUAAGACAAGGGCUGCUUAUAUACUGACACAUGGAAAUGCUUCUAUGUCAUGUCAUUUAUUUAUUAUCCUCUCAAUGUAUAGCUUUUCUUGGUUUCAAUACAGCCAAUUCAGUAGUUAUAAUCAGAUGGUGAGAAUCCAAGCACACAUACUGUAUAAACCCACGCAUAUGCCUAUGCAUGCUGAUAUAAAUGACACAUUGUGCAGCACCCCUAAAGAACUUUAGCUGCUUUGGUUAUAUAGUUAUUCAGCAACUUAAUAAAUACCCAAUAAGCAAA